CGGACGGGUGAGUAAUGCCUAGGAAUCUGCCUGGUAGUGGGGGACAACGUUUCGAAAGGAACGCUAAUACCGCAUACGUCCUACGGGAGAAAGCAGGGACCUUCGGGCCUUGCGCUAUCAGAUGAGCCUAGGUCGGAUUAGCUAGUUGGUGAGGUAAUGGCUCACCAAGGCGACGAUCCGUAACUGGUCUGAGAGGAUGAUCAGUCACACUGGAACUGAGACACAGUCCAGACUCCUACGGGAGGCAGCAGUU
RNAcentral lists this ribosomal RNA (253 nucleotides) under uncultured Pseudomonas sp. RNAcentral's name for it is "partial 16S ribosomal RNA". It matches the Rfam family "Bacterial small subunit ribosomal RNA", at positions 99 to 355 of the family's 1533-position model. The record is from RNAcentral. Lineage: Bacteria; Pseudomonadati; Pseudomonadota; Gammaproteobacteria; Pseudomonadales; Pseudomonadaceae.